CGGGUGAGUAACACGUAUCCAACCUGCCGUCUACUCUUGGACAGCCUUCUGAAAGGAAGAAUUUAAUACAAGAUGGCAUCAUGAGUUCACAUGUUCACAUGAUUAAAGGUAUUCCGGUAGACGAUGGGGAUGCGUUCCAUUAGAUAGUAGGCGGGAUAACGGCCCACCUAGUCUUCGAUGGAUAGGGGUUCUGAGAGGAAGGUCCCCCACAUUGGAACUGAGACACGGUCCAA
This 233-nucleotide ribosomal RNA is filed under the name uncultured bacterium. RNAcentral describes it as "partial 16S ribosomal RNA". It matches the Rfam family "Bacterial small subunit ribosomal RNA", at positions 103 to 334 of the family's 1533-position model. The record is from RNAcentral.